This 455-nucleotide ribosomal RNA is filed under the name gamma proteobacterium GA-38. RNAcentral's name for it is "bacterial SSU rRNA". It matches the Rfam family "Bacterial small subunit ribosomal RNA", at positions 20 to 474 of the family's 1533-position model. Lineage: Bacteria; Pseudomonadati; Pseudomonadota; Gammaproteobacteria. The record is from RNAcentral.
GAGCUCAGAUUGAACGCUGGCGGCAGGCCUAACACAUGCAAGUCGAGCGGUAACAGAAAGUAGCUUGCUACUUUGCUGACGAGCGGCGGACGGGUGAGUAAUGCUUGGGAACAUGCCUUGAGGUGGGGGACAACAGUUGGAAACGACUGCUAAUACCGCAUAAUGUCUACGGACCAAAGGGGGCUUCGGCUCUCGCCUUUAGAUUGGCCCAAGUGGGAUUAGCUAGUUGGUGAGGUAAUGGCUCACCAAGGCGACGAUCCCUAGCUGGUUUGAGAGGAUGAUCAGCCACACUGGGACUGAGACACGGCCCAGACUCCUACGGGAGGCAGCAGUGGGGAAUAUUGCACAAUGGGCGCAAGCCUGAUGCAGCCAUGCCGCGUGUGUGAAGAAGGCCUUCGGGUUGUAAAGCACUUUCAGUCAGGAGGAAAGCGUGGUGGUUAAUACCCAUCAUGUGU